This is a long non-coding RNA of Peromyscus eremicus (cactus mouse), 429 nucleotides long. RefSeq lists it as uncharacterized. Lineage: Eukaryota; Metazoa; Chordata; Mammalia; Rodentia; Cricetidae. The record is from RefSeq and is a predicted model, not a curated record. The transcript has 3 exons.
CCCAAGUAAAGGGAGCACACACCCUUGUUUCCACGCCAGCACACCUUCCCUGUGUGUGUGUGUUUCCCUGUAGACAGCCUGCCUCAAAGCAAUGGCGCCAUCUUACAAGUUUAAUGUGAUUAGAAUGGAAAACACACACACUAGAGUUGAAAUCUGAAGAUGUGAGUUUGAAUUCCAAUCUUGACACUGACUUCAACGCUUUGACCAAUCUAGAGGGAACUCAUGCAAGUUGGAUCAAAGGCUGUGGAGCCUACAUGGACCUGGACUAGGCCCUUUGCUUGAUACGCCAAAAAGAACUUGACCACUAGGAAAGCCGGGCCAUUCCAUAUAAAGUCUGAGAUGAUUACCAGUAUCCCCAAGUGAGAGAGAACAAAGAAGAAGCUAAGCAAGGUCACACCAAAGGACAUAGAGAUUGCCAGAAAAACAUUC